GACGAACGCUGGCGGCGUGCUUAACACAUGCAAGUCGAACGGAAAGGCCCUGCUUUUGUGGGGUGCUCGAGUGGCGAACGGGUGAGUAACACGUGAGUAACCUGCCCUUGACUUUGGGAUAACUUCAGGAAACUGGGGCUAAUACCGGAUAGGAGCUCCUGCUGCAUGGUGGGGGUUGGAAAGUUUCGGCGGUUGGGGAUGGACUCGCGGCUUAUCAGCUUGUUGGUGGGGUAGUGGCUUACCAAGGGUUCGACGGGUAGCCGGCCUGGGAGGGUGACCGGCCACAUGGGGACUGAGAUACGGCCCAGACUCCUACGGGAGGCAGCAGUGGGGAAUAUUGCACAAUGGGCGGAAGCCUGAUGCAGCAACGCCGCGUGCGGGAUGACGGCCUUCGGGUUGUAAACCGCUUUCGCCUGUGACGAAGCGUGAGUGACGGUAAUGGGUAAAGAAGCACCGGCUAACUACGUG
RNAcentral lists this ribosomal RNA (468 nucleotides) under uncultured bacterium. RNAcentral describes it as "partial 16S ribosomal RNA". It matches the Rfam family "Bacterial small subunit ribosomal RNA", at positions 28 to 507 of the family's 1533-position model. The record is from RNAcentral.